Molecule: ribosomal RNA, 469 nt
Filed under: uncultured bacterium
Lineage: Bacteria
Description: partial 16S ribosomal RNA
Rfam family: Bacterial small subunit ribosomal RNA
Source: RNAcentral
GACGAACGCUGGCGGCGUGCUUAACACAUGCAAGUCGAACGGAAAGGCCCUGCUUGCAGGGUGCUCGAGUGGCGAACGGGUGAGUAACACGUGGGUGAUCUGCCCCUUACUUUGGGAUAAGCCUGGGAAACUGGGUCUAAUACUGGAUAGGACCAUGCUGUAGGUGGUGUGGUGGAAAGAUUAGUUUCGGUAAGGGAUGAGCUCGCGGCCUAUCAGCUUGUUGGUGGGGUAAUGGCCUACCAAGGCGUCGACGGGUAGCCGGCCUGAGAGGGUGGACGGCCACAUUGGGACUGAGAUACGGCCCAGACUCCUACGGGAGGCAGCAGUGGGGAAUAUUGCACAAUGGGCGCAAGCCUGAUGCAGCGACGCCGCGUGGGGGAUGACGGCCUUCGGGUUGUAAACUCCUUUCAGCCAUGACGAAGCCCUUGUGGCGACGGUAGUGGUAGAAGAAGCACCGGCUAACUACGUG